UACAAUACACCCCAACCCUUAUAUUAGGUAAAUAAAAAACUAUUCAAAUACUUUUUCUCUUCAACAAAACCCCAACCCAGUUUUCCAUUUCUUCCAUCACCUUCGCCGGAGAAUCCCAUCCACCAUCAUUCCUCUCUAACCGCAACGCUCUUCAUCUCCGCCCACAUAAUCUCCCCUCCCCACACUCCACUUUUCGCUUUCUCCAGAUCUACAACAACCGAUCAUCUUCUCCAACCCUCUUCCCUGCUCUGCCGCAGGUCCAAUUCCGUUUCCGACCUUCGUUCAUCACUUACCGGGCCCACAGGACACACCCACCCACAUCAUCACUAUCCUGGUACCAUGGGCACCAAAAGACAGCGCCCCACUAAUAAGGUCAGUACUUUUCGAGCUCCUCCCCCUGCUGCUGCUAAUGCGCCUGCUCCUCCUCCUGAUUUGGUCGACAUAGUAGCACGUUUGGACCGCAUUGAGGCGCGCCAGCAGCGUAUUGAGGCGAGCCAGCAACGUAUUGAAGCGAGCCAAGAGCGUAUCGAGACUGCUAUCCACCAGCGCUUUGACGAGCUCUUCUGCAUUAUGGAAGCUCAAAACCCACAACCUCCAACUCCAUGAUUCGUCUUUUCUUUUUUAGUUUUUGUGAAUCUCAGGGAAGUCUCGUUUUUCUUCUUUUAGAUGAUGGUUCUUUUUUUUAGCUACUUGUUAACAUUGAGAACAAUAUUUGUUUCAAAUGUAGGUGGCGUACCAAUUAAAUCAAAAUUGCCAAUUUUCAGUUGUAUUUGGAUUACACUUGGGAAAUAUGGGUAAUUAGGCAAGAUAAGACUGAAUUUUAGGAAUUAUUUUUUCAUUGAUAGAGAUAUCUUUAGAAGUAGGAUACUUCAUUGCUUAUGAGUGAUUGUUUUGCUAAGCGAUAUCUUUCUAGUUGGA
Long non-coding RNA from Vicia villosa (hairy vetch), 918 nucleotides. RefSeq lists it as uncharacterized. The record is from RefSeq and is a predicted model, not a curated record. The transcript is spliced from 2 exons. Lineage: Eukaryota; Viridiplantae; Streptophyta; Magnoliopsida; Fabales; Fabaceae.